GGAAGGAUCAUUAUCGUAUUAUAAACUUGAACAGGCUGUUGCUGGCCCCUCUGGGGUGUGUGCACGCUUGUCUCAUUUUUAUUAUUUUUCCAACUUGUGCACCUCAUGUAGAUCCCUCGAGCCUUUGUAUGAAUGUUCUCAUUCGAGUAGGGACUGCUGUUGCUUUUCUUUGAAAGGCCAGCUUUGCCUUUUGCUCUUGGGGUUCUAUGUCCAUCUAUCACAAACGAGUUUAGAAUGUCUAUAAUGAAAAAAGUGAAAUAUAUACAACUUUCAGCAACGGAUCUCUUGGCUCUCGCAUCGAUGAAGAACGCAGCGAAAUGCGAUAAGUAAUGUGAAUUGCAGAAUUCAGUGAAUCAUCGAAUCUUUGAACGCACCUUGCGCUCCUUGGUAUUCCGAGGAGCAUGCCUGUUUGAGUGUCAUUUGACUUAUCAAACCACCUCGUCUGCUUGGUGGCUUUGGAUGUGGGGGUCUUUGCAGGCUUUGAACAAAGGUCGGCUCCCCUGAAACGCAUUAGUGGCAUCUGAGCUGCUACUAUAGGUGUGAUAAAUUAUCUAUGCCUUUGGUACGCCGCAUGAACGGAUCGUGCUGCUCACAACGAAAAAAAUAACUUUGACAAACUUGACCUCAAAUCAGGUAGGACUACCCGCUGAACUUAAGCAUAUCAAUAAGCGGAGGAAAAGAAACUAACAAGGAUUCCCCUAGUAACUGCGAGUGAAGCGGGAAGAGCUCAAAUUUGAAAUCUGGCGGUCCCUUGGGCUGUCCGAGUUGUAAUCUAGAGAAGUGCUACCUGUGCUGGACCGUGUACAAGUCUCCUGGAAUGGAGCAUCACAGAGGGUGAGAAUCCCGUCUUUGACACGGACUGCCUGUGCGAUAUGGUGCGCUCUCGAAGAGUCGAGUUGUUUGGGAAUGCAGCUCAAAACGGGUGGUAAAUGCCAUCUA
This 939-nucleotide ribosomal RNA is filed under the name uncultured fungus. Its description in RNAcentral is "eukaryotic LSU rRNA". The stretch from base 620 to 939 matches the Rfam family "Eukaryotic large subunit ribosomal RNA", at positions 1 to 312 of the family's 3401-position model. Lineage: Eukaryota; Fungi. The record is from RNAcentral.